GAUGAAGAACGUAGCAAAAUGCGAUACUUGGUGUGAAUUGCAGAAUCCCGUGAACCAUCGAGUUUUUGAACGCAAGUUGCGCCCGAAGCCUUUUGGCCGAGGGCACGUCUGCCUGGGCGUCACACAUCGCGUCGCCCCCCACAAUUCUCCGUAAAGGGAACAUGUGUUUUGGGGGCGGAUAUUGGUCUCCCGUGCUCAUGGCGUGGUUGGCCGAAAUAGGAGUCCUUUCGAUGGACGCACGAACUAGUGGUGGUCGUAAAAACCCUCGUCUUUUGUUUCGUGCUGUUGGUCGCAAGGUAAACUCUUUAAAAACCCCAAUGUGUCGUCUCUUGACGACGCUUCGACCGCGACCCCAGGUCAGGCGGGACUACCCGCUGAGUUUAAGCAUAUCAAUAAGCGGAGGA
This 404-nucleotide unclassified non-coding RNA is filed under the name soil metagenome. RNAcentral's name for it is "partial contains 5.8S ribosomal RNA, internal transcribed spacer 2, and large subunit ribosomal RNA". The stretch from base 1 to 122 matches the Rfam family "5.8S ribosomal RNA", at positions 35 to 154 of the family's 154-position model. The record is from RNAcentral.